RNAcentral lists this long non-coding RNA (570 nucleotides) under Mytilus galloprovincialis (Mediterranean mussel). Lineage: Eukaryota; Metazoa; Mollusca; Bivalvia; Mytilida; Mytilidae. The record is from RNAcentral.
CCUCUUUAUAGAAUGAGAGUUAUAGAGUAGUAGUCAGUGCGUCAUUUCUCGGAUGGAGAUAAAGAUUUAGAACCAUAUCAUAAAUUAAGCGUCAACAAUCGCGUCAAGAAAAUUGAAUGACAAUCACAUUUAAAGUUAAGGGAUAAGACGUAAUUAUAAAAAUAAUACAAUGUAGUGUAUUUACCUAUGAUACAACUACAACAAGAGACCAAAUGACAUGUAUUUUAGCAGCUUUAUUUCACCGUAUAAACUUUUACAAUGAGCAUAAACGAUAUUUAUCGUCUAGUCUGUAACAAAAGGCAAGACAACAUUUGAAAACAAACGGCCUAAUUAAAAAAAAAACAACAAAAGUAAAGCGAAAAACAAAUAUCUCUGACAUUAAACAACACGAUGAAAGUGGUGUAACAAGAUAAGUACAAACUGUAAAACAAUCAGUUUGAAAUGGCUUAUCUCAAUAGACUGGUACAAGCCACAACAAAAACCUUAUGUAAUUACAAAAUUCAUAAAGAAACCACAGUACUCACAGUUAUUGAAAGCUAGUUUAAAGCCAAAAACAUCCAUAUUCAACCA